UGACUAUGGCAUAAUCAUAUUCCUCUUGACCUUCAACUUGAUUACUGUGUCAAGCUAUAGGGUUGACAAUGUGUUGAAGAUUGCACAUGACAGAAUCUACACCAUUGCUAUAGGCUGUGGCAUUUGCCUCCUCAUGAGUUUGCUCAUAUUCCCAAUUGGUCAGGGGAAGAUCUCCAUAAUUCAACAAUAUCUCAGCAUGGUUAAGUGACAAUUAUAGCAAAUUAUCAAUUGAUAUAUAUAUAUAUAAAUAUAAUUAGCACUUAACCAUGCUGAGAUAUGUUGCAAUAUACAAAGGCUAUAAAGCUGUUUUGGAUUGAAGCCUCUGGAGAGGACAAAUCGUCUGAGGAUCCAAUAUAUAAAGGCAAUAAAGCUGUUUUAGAUUCAAAAUCCUCUGAUGAAAUGUUGGCAAGUCCAUUUAAUCAUUCCUUGGUUCAUUAUUCCAAUGAAUUAUUGAUGAUAGAAGAUCUUCUAGUAAUUUGGAUAGGCAUUACAUGCAAGUUGGGAGCCAAGGCAUUCAUGUCACAAAUUUCCAUGGCAGCAGUAUGUUAAAGUUGGAGUUGUUCUUCGCCAAUUCGGAUACACUGUGGUUGCUUUAAUGGCUGUUUGAGAACAGAAAUUCAGGCAAAAAUUGGGCAUGAAAAUAAGCACUCAGAAAGCAAAUAAUCAAGACAAAAGAAGGAUUGGAGUGAGGACAGAGAUUAUCAUGACAAAGUGCACCAAAAAUUAUGAUGGAGAUUUUAUGUAUUAAAAGCUACAUGUUAAGACAUUUAUAAUUAAAAAAUUAUGUUAUGUUAGAUACUUUAUUUGUAUAGAGGUUAUUAUUUUUUAUUUUUAAUACUAAAAAAUAAUAUAUUAUGUUUAAUA
Non-coding RNA from Arachis ipaensis, 864 nucleotides. Lineage: Eukaryota; Viridiplantae; Streptophyta; Magnoliopsida; Fabales; Fabaceae. The record is from RefSeq and is a predicted model, not a curated record.